UUUAGGUGGACUUUUCAAGAUUUUUUUCUGAUUUACUGUGGACAUUCUGUUUUGGUGGACCCAAAAAGUCCACGUAAAAAUAAACGCACAGAACACCUUUUAGCUGGACGUAAACGUAUCCGAAAGAACAAGUCUGUUUCGGUGGACUCAAAAAUUGUCCACCUUAGGCGCCAUCUAUCUCUAAACUAAAAAAUUUGAUGGUUCGUAGUUCCAAUAUCUGCCACAGACGGCGCCACCAUCGGCUGGCUCUGUGUUGAAGCUCGGAAACGCACGCCUUGAUCAGCGCGGGCUAGCGCGGGCAUGCAGCAAAAACGUAACAUGAUAUGAUUUAUAGUGUGGUCUGUGGAAUGUGAAGCGAUCAAAAUAGACGUUUGUUUUAUUUUUAAAAAAGUGUAAAAAUAAAUUAAUUAUAUUAUGUAUCUUAGAAACCCGUGAAUUAGAGUAUGAUGAAGUUUUGUGUAGUUGCAACAACACUGUUUUUUGUUGCGGUGUUAUCGGCGCGGCACGGCUCACCACGUGGCGGUGUCAGUGUUGGGAUUUGGAAGAGAUAAAGCUUUGGGUGGUACUAAUUUGUGUUUUUUUUGUGCUGGGAGCUUUUUGAAGUCUGUGAGGUAGCUUGGAUGUUCAGGCCACUUUGAUAGUCCAAGAUGCUGUCUGGUACUAAUGUACGCAAGAAGCGACCAGCAGCUGUUACUUCUGGACGAAGGAGGAAAGUGGCGAAAACUGUUCAGGAUCUCUAUUUUGUGGAAAGAAUAUUAGCCCACCAGUGGAAAGACGGCAACAUGAUGUACCUCAUCAAGUGGCAAGGUUUCAGGAUGCCUACGUGGGAGCCAGCGCAGAACCUGAAUCCUGUGAUCCUUCAAAAGUACCACGGUAAGAGCCAUACAUUAUGCAUUCCAGUUAGCUAAACAAAUCUACGGCUUGUGUUUUUUAUUGGGUUUAGGUGCAUGCAAUUGUGACUUAAAAGAGCGUUUAAUUUUUCAGUCGUUGCUUGUUUUGUUGUGCUUUAUCCCAUGUUUGGUUUUUGAUGGACUCCAUCCUUUAUAAGAGCUUUCUACAUCAAUUUAUGAUGCGAUUUUGUUUUCUUGAACGCUGCGAAAGUCAGUGGGUGGUUUCCCCAGGGCGUGUGACUGGUCUGCCCAUUGCGUGUCAUAUGAGCCAAAUGAUGUGGCAGUCGGGUGCCCCUAAAACCAAAAUCAUUAAUUGCCGUGUGUGUACUGUGUACCUAUAUUUGUGCCUUGUGAUUGUGUAUGUACAAGGGGGGUGUUUGAACACCCCUCCCCCCUGUGGUUUUUCGCGAAU
RNAcentral lists this long non-coding RNA (1302 nucleotides) under Amphibalanus amphitrite. Its description in RNAcentral is "uncharacterized LOC122377108, transcript variant X3". Lineage: Eukaryota; Metazoa; Arthropoda; Thecostraca; Balanomorpha; Balanidae. The record is from RNAcentral.